This 497-nucleotide ribosomal RNA is filed under the name uncultured bacterium. RNAcentral describes it as "partial 16S ribosomal RNA". It matches the Rfam family "Bacterial small subunit ribosomal RNA", at positions 28 to 507 of the family's 1533-position model. The record is from RNAcentral.
GAUGAACGCUGGCGGCGUGCCUAAUACAUGCAAGUCGAGCGAACGGACGAGAAGCUUGCUUCUCUGAUGUUAGCGGCGGACGGGUGAGUAACACGUGGAUAACCUACCUAUAAGACUGGGAUAACUUCGGGAAACCGGAGCUAAUACCGGAUAAUAUUUUGAACCGCAUGGUUCAAAAGUAAAAGACGGUCUUGCUGUCACUUAUAGAUGGAUCCGCGCUGCAUUAGCUAGUUGGUAAGGUAACGGCUUACCAAUGCAACGAUGCAUAGCCGACCUGAGAGGGUGAUCGGCCACACUGGAACUGAGACACGGUCCAGACUCCUACGGGAGGCAGCAGUAGGGAAUCUUCCGCAAUGGGCGAAAGCCUGACGGAGCAACGCCGCGUGAGUGAUGAAGGUCUUCGGAUCGUAAAACUCUGUUAUUAGGGAAGAACAUAUGUGUAAGUAACUGUGCACAUCUUGACGGUACCUAAUCAGAAAGCCACGGCUAACUACGUG